GAUGAACGCUAGCGGCAGGCCUAAUACAUGCAAGUCGAACGAGAUUGAGGAGCUUGCUCCUCAUGAAAGUGGCGCACGGGUGCGUAACGCGUAUGCAAUCUACCUUAAUCAGGGGGAUAGCCCGGAGAAAUCCGGAUUAAUACCGCAUAACGUUAUUUUAUGGCAUCAUAGAAUAACCAAACAUUUAUGGGAUUAAGAUGAGCAUGCGUGACAUUAGUUAGUUGGUGAGGUAACGGCUCACCAAGACUACGAUGUCUAGGGGAUCCGAGAGGAUGACCCCCCACACUGGUACUGAGACACGGACCAGACUCCUACGGGAGGCAGCAGUAAGGAAUAUUGGUCAAUGGGCGCAAGCCUGAACCAGCCAUGCCGCGUGCAGGAAGACGGCCCUAUGGGUUGUAAACUGCUUUUAUUCGGGAAUAAACCUCUUUACGUGUAAGGAGCUGAAUGUACCGAAGGAAUAAGGAUCGGCUAACUCCGUGCCAGCAGCC
Molecule: ribosomal RNA, 491 nt
Filed under: uncultured bacterium
Lineage: Bacteria
Description: bacterial SSU rRNA
Rfam family: Bacterial small subunit ribosomal RNA
Source: RNAcentral